UAGUCAGUUUGCAACUCUCCUAAUUUUUUCAUCAUUUAAAGAAAGAAACAAAAGCAUGGAUCCAAGCUUGAGAGAAGUAGCUGGAACAGGAGAUACUGAUGCCUUGUACGCUCUAAUUCGAAAGGAUCCGUACAUGUUGGAGCAUAUUGAUCAGAUUCCUUUCAUCGAUACUCCACUUCACAUAGCAGCAAAUGAAGGUCAAAUUAAGUUUGCAAUGGAGAUGAUCAACUUGAAGCCUUCGUUUGGUCGGAAGCUAAACCAAGAUGGGUUUAGCCCCAUGCACUUGGCCCUCAAAAUGGGGCAUACCAAGCUAGUGCUUCGACUGUUGAAGACCGAUAAAGACCUGGUUCGCGUCAAAGGAAGGGAAGGGAUGACCCCUUUCCAUUGUGCAGCUGCAGUGGGGAACUCUAAUCUUUUAUUCCACUUCCUUGAAACUUGCCCUGAAUGCGUUGAGGAUGUCACGGUUCGUAACGAGACUGCAUUACAUCUUGCUCUGAAAAACGACCACACAGACGCUUUUAAUCUCUUACAUGGAUGGCUUCGAAAGAACCGUCGAGGAGGAGGCAAUGGUUUGGAAAGAAAGGUUGUGAAUUGGAGAGAUGAUGAUGACAACACUGUGUUGCACAUUGCAGCUACAAAUCAACAACAUCAGGUAUAUAUAUGCAAUAUAAUGAUAAGUUGCGUUCCUUUGAUCAUUUUAUUAAUGACUAUUUAUAAUAUUCUACGCAGGCAGUACAACUGUUGUUGGAUUCCUUUUAUGGGUUAGAUGCAAACGCUAAGAAUUCGGAAGGCUUGACAGCUCGAGAAACCAUAGAAAGGGUUGAAAGACAAGGGUUGAACAUGAGUGGCGCCGAAGACGAUGAUAUCUCCACCGCCAAGAUUGAGCGCAUUAAGAAAAGAACUAGUAGGUCUGAAAGAGCAUUAGUAAAGUUGAUUCGUGCAAGGAAUGGGUUGUCAGAGAACAUGCUCAACGCAACACUGGUGGUAGCGGCGCUGGUCAUUACAGCAAUCUACCAGUCAUCUUUAAGCCCACCAAGAGGUCUUUGGCAAGGUGAUAACACUAGUAUCCCCACCACCAACUCAAACCUUACUACUACUACUAAAUUUAAACUCUUUAACGACAAUUACAGUUAGUAUCGUUUUAAAUUUCUGUUGGGUGAAGAAACAAGGAAAACUGGUACUGCAGUCAUGAAUCCCAACUUGUUUUUAGGGUUUUGGUUUUUCAAUUUUAUAGCAUUUGGGCUUCCAGUUCUUCUAACCGUUUUGCUUUUAUCCAAUGUACCUAGUAUUCUUCUCAUCCCGCUUUAUUAUCUAUCUGUCUCCUACUUCAACUGCAUGACAAUAGUAUCUCCUUCCACGUUUUGGGCAAACCUCAACUUUGUUGUCAUGCGGACAGCCAUUCUUCUCCCGUUGCUCUUAGUUGUUAGAAGCGUAUGGUUAUCGAAGCAACCAAAGUACAGGGAAAUCAGACAAUUACGAAGACUUUUCCGCAAGUAGAAUAAUGUUGGAAUCAUUCAACGGUUGCGAAUGUCAAUGUAGUUUAUAUGUUCUCUUAUGUUAUGUACUUUUUUCCAUUUUCUCUGGAUUAUCGGUAAAAAAUUUAUGUAAUUGCUUUGGAUAAAUUUAAUAAAUAAGAUUACUGUCGAAACCGCUUUUUUGAAAAACAAAAAUUUGGUUGUCGACAUUAAAAAUAAAACUGGAGUCGCCACCGAUCCUUUAUUAAGGUGCGAUUGGCCCACCUUAAAAAUUAUUUUGGCCUACGAAUUUUGAGAAAACGAGUUCGGGAGUCAGUUACGCACGAGGAAGUGUUAGCACCCUCGUAACGCCCAAAAUCGGUACCAAAUUGAUUAUUUGAUGUCUUAGUGUCGAAUGUUAAAAAGAUUUUUAAAACAACUCAAAUGAUGAAAUCUGAAAAGGAUACUCAAUUGUUCAAGUCAUGUAAAGAAAUCGAGUCCCAAUACGUUAGGGUACAAUUUCUCAAAAUUCUCGAACUUUGAAUAUCACUUUUAUUUUAUGCGAAAAUUUUCAUUUUGGGAAAGUAACAUGCCACACCCAAUACGUUAGGACACGACAAGUUAAGUUCCCAAAAAUGAUUUUUAUUCUCAUGCAUUUUGAAUAAAGAAUAUUCCCAGCUUUUUAAGAUUGACAAAGAAAAUCAGAACCCAAUGCGUUAGGGCUCAAUUUUCCUCGGAAAUCCCAAACUUCGAAUAAUGCUUUUAUUAAAAAAACCUUUGAAUCAUGAAAAUAACUUUGAUAUACGGUUAAAACCAAAAUAUAUUUUCAAAAGGGUACAUUGAAAAGUUAGUGUACAAUAUGAUACAAAACUUCAAUUUAAAAUACAUGUAUAUAUGUGUCUUUUCAAAAUAUAAGUAUGAGACAUAAAUAAAUUUUGAAAACGUGUAUGAGCAUAUAUUAAAACGGGUAUAUAUAAGUAUACGUAUAUAUAAAAAAAAUGAAAUAUAUAAAACAAAACAAAAACCUAUUAUAAUUUUCUAAGAAAAUAUGCAUGUAUGUAUAUGUAUGCGAAAUUUAUGAAAAUAAGAUAAAAGUAUAAAAAUAUGUACAUGUGUAUAUAUUUACAAAAAAGUAUACAUAUAAAAUAUAAAGUAUAUAUAAAAAGUAAAUAACAAAAAUAAAAAAAACAUAGGUAUAAAAUAUAUGCAUUUAUUUAUAAAACUUUAAUAUAUAUAUAUAUACCUAUAUAAAAAAAACCCAUAUGUAUAUUAUAUAUAAAAAAACUAUGCGUAUAUAUAUAUGUAUAGAAAAUAUGAUAAUAAUCAAUAAUAAUAACUAAUAUAAUAAAAAUAAUUAAUUUUAAUGAUAAAAUAAUUAAUAACAAGGGACCCAAAUUGAAACUACAGGAAACUUUCAGGUAAACAUUUAAAAUAAUAAAAGCUGAAAACUAAUUUGUAGUGCCCUGGAAACAUCAGGGAGUAAACGAGCAAAUAUACCAGCCCCUUAUACGCAGCGUUUUCAUGUUGGACCAAAUUGAAACAGGAAACAGACGUGCGGUCAAAAUUAAAAAUAAAAAAAAUUGUAUUGAAGGUGACUCAAAAACAGAGGGACCAGUUGCGCAAAUUCCCCAUUCAGGGCCAGAACGCGCGGACCCUGCUUGCGGGUCGGGUCGACGCGCGGAUCUGGCCCCUUGCAAAACGGCGCCGUUUCACUCUUAUUAUUUAAAACAGUUUUCUUCUUCUUUUUUUCUGAAAUCUGUAGCCAACAAACAAAAAAACUUUUAACCCUCUGCUAGGUUUUUUUUAAAAAAAAAACUCCUUUUGUUUUUACGCCGUCGCUCGUCGGCCACCGGAGCUCCGAUGACGGCAGAGAUGGUAGCAAACGGCGGCCCGAACACAGAGGUAAACUCCUCUUCACUCUCUUCUCUUUAUAAAUCAACAGUAAACAUGGAAGAAAAAAAAUGAACGCCGAACAAAAAAACCACCUUUAUAUUCAAGAAAAGUUUGUAUUUUCCUUUCUUUUUCUCUGUAUUUUUCAGUGUUUUUGUGUGCACUCCUUUACACCGAAAAUCCCCCCUUUAUUCUCUUUACAAAUCUGUUUAUAUAUAACCGAAAAAUAUAAAAAAUGUAAAAUCAAAGAAAUAUUUUCUGUUAUUGCUGCACUUUCUGCCAUUUUCUAGUUUUUUCUCGCAGGUAUGGGCACUGUUGGGGAGUGCUCACGCUCGUGGAGGCGCAAAUCGCGCGGAGGGAGGACUCUGGCCCGCAUUGUGCGGCGGCUGGAGUUGUUGGAGGCUGCCAUUAGGGUUUGGGGUAUGGGGGUUGCUAGUUGGGCCAGGUUUAGGGUUAUUGGGCCUGUAUAUUUGGUUUUUUAGUGGGCCGGACAAUUUGGGCUUGUACAGUUGCCCCUCUUUGCUGGUUGUCGUAUAACGGCAACAGAGCAAAGACUACGAGGCCCAAUUGUGCCCGGUCUUCCUGAGUCUUAACUUCUUCCAUGCCUCUCUUCUUUAGGUAGCCUCAUUCAUUCCUACUGCAUUUUCAGAGGUAUAGGAACUAGCUUCAAUCCACUCCACCGCAAUGUCAGGGAGAUAGGCUUCGUACGUUUUAGCUUCUCAAAAAGAACAAAAUUUGCUAUCUUUAAUCUGCUCCAUUGCAACUUCAGGGAGAUAAGAUUUGUAGCUUCAAUUUGUUCUGCUACAACUUAAAGAUAAGUCCGAUGCGAUCUGCUUUACUGCAACUUCAGAGAGAUGAGAUCUGUGGUCUUAAUCCACUCCAUUGCAACUUCAAGGAGAUUGGAUUGGUUACUUUUGUAUGCUCCACUGCAACUUUAGGGAGACAAGACUUGUAUCUUCGAUCUACUUCACCACCAGUAUGGGAAGACAAGAUCUGCUUUCUUCGAUCUACUUCACGCCAAUACAUGAAGACAAGAUCUGCUUUCUUCGAUCGAUUCCACUACCGAUCGGGGAGAUAGAAUAACUGGCUUCAAUAUACUCCACUGCAACUUCAGGGAGGUAAAAUUCGCCAUCUUCGAUCUGCUCCACUACUGCUUAGGGAGGCAAAAUCUGUAAUCUUCAAUCUAUUCCACUGUUGCCCAGGGAGAUAUAAUUACUGGCUUCAAUGUACUCCACUGUAACCUCAGGGAGGUAAAAUCUGCCAUCUUCGAUCUGCUUCACUACUGCUUAGGGAGGCAAGAUCUGUAAUCUUCAAUCUACUUCGCCACCAGUAUGGGAAGAUAAAAUCUGUAUAUUCGAUCCACUUCACUACCGAUAUAAGAAUACAAGACCUACUAUCUUUGAUGAAGACAAGAUCUGUUUUCUUCGAUCUACUUCGCCACCAGAAAAGGAAGACAAGAUCUGGUAUCUUUGAUCCACUUCGCUACCAAUAUAGGAAGACAGGAUAUAGUAUCUUUGAUCUACUUCACGCCAGUACAUGAAGACAAGAUCUGUUUUCUUCGAUCUACUUCGCCACCAGUAUGGGAAGACAAGAUCUGGUAUCUUUGAUCUACUUCGCUACCAAUAUAGGAAGACAGGAUCUGGUAUCUUUGAUCUACUUCACGCCAGUACAUGAAGACAAGAUCUGUUUUCUUCGAUCUACUUCGCCACCAGAAUAAGAAGACAAGAUCUGGUAUCUUUGAUCCACUUCGCUACCAAUAUAGGAAGACAGGAUCUAGUAUCUUUGAUCUACUUCACGCCAGUAUAUGAAGACAAGAUCUGUUUUCUUCGAUCUACUUCGCCACCAGUAUGGGAAGACAAGAUCUGGUAUCUUUGAUCAACUUCGCUACCAAUAUAGGAAGCCAGGAUCUGGUAUCUUUGAUCUACUUCACGCCAGUACAUGAAGACAAGACUUGCUGAAGAGCUUUCUGGGCUUGACAUGUGUUUAGGAGAUCUACCAUACUCUAUCGAUGGCCCAAGAUGUCGCAUACCCUUUCCUGCUGAUUCUGGUAUAGCAAGACCACUGUAUAUCCCAUUUUGAUCAGUAUUUGAGCUGCUCUGAUUACUUCAUGCCCUAUUCUGAUCAAUAUUUGAGCCGCCCUUUUCGGGUUUUCAACUCAAAUCCCUUUUGGUCUAAGGCGCCCUUUGCGAGUUUUCACCUUAACCUCUCCAUUUUUUACUCAAAGCUCCCUUUGUAGGGUUUCACAUUGGCCUUUUUUUUGACUCAAAGCGCCAUUUGUAGGCUUUCACCUUGGUCCCACCUUUUAGGAAAAGUACUUCCUAACGGAAUUUGAGUUUACAUAGCUUGGAGAAUCUUUACCAUCCAUCUUACUCAGGAUCAAAAUUUUCCCCAGAAAAGGCUUUCUUUAUGACAUAUCCUCUUAAUUUGGCAUCCAUCUUCCUCUAAAAUCCUUUUGUAUAGGAAGGAUUUGCUUCCCCUUGUGAAAAUUUCUAAGACGAGCCUUUGGAUCUUCCUCUUAGGAUAAAAAUGCAGAGAAAUGACAAUUCGACUUCAAUGAGCAAAGCUAUGAUAAACCAAAGUGAAAGACAUUGCCCCAGUAAAGGAAUUUCACUGAGCAUAUCCGGGUAUAACCAUGUGAAGACAUCAUUGAAUUCCUAGGGUAACUCAUAAGGUCUUGCUUUGCUUCUUCAGUCAUACAUGUUCCUUCAAGGUCACAGUCUUCAUUGUCUUUUCAUGAGGUAAAAUCUUCUUCCUGCUCUACCAUCCUUAAUAAAUCCAGAAAUAAGCUACGAUCCAUGUCAUCUUCAAAGUUGUGAGAUCCCUCUAAACACAUGUCUCACUCAAAAGGAGAUUCUAAAUCUGUAGCAGUGUCAUUCAUGUCAUUGAUAUUUGGGGACCUAUAGUGGGUACCAAAAAAAAGAAUGUAUGAAUAAUAUGAAUGAACGAAUGAAUGAUUUGGCAGGAGAAAUCCAAUAGAAUGAAGAAAACGUAAAGACUGAAAGAACAUUUGCUCAAAGAUUAUUGCAAUAAUGUAUUCAUUAAAAAUAAUAAUGUUCAGACAUGAGCCUAUUUCACAAAGGAGUUCUUAUUGAUUUUAGGCUAAAAGCAACAAGUGUGUUCUGAACAUUACUCUAUCAAGCUCUAAAUAACAUAGGAGUUUCCUCUGCAGUCCCAUUAUUUAUAACACCUCCCAGGCGGAUAUCUGACCAGAACCCUUUUAAUUGCGUCUGCACAUAUGGCGUCGAUGUGAAAAUCUCAUCACUUCUCUACACAUCACACACCCCCCAUUAUCAAUCAUGAUUGGGUAAUGGACUCUCUGCACUUGAUGAGUCACCAAAUUUAACAACACCCAUGUCGAUGAGUCUUUCAACUUGCUUCUUGAAGGCAGUGUAAUUCUCAAUCGAAUGUCCCCUAAUUCCCGCAUGGUAUUCACAUUGCGCGUUCGCAUCAUACCAUUUGGGAUACGGAGGUUGUAGAGGCUUCACAGGAAAAGGGGAAACAACAUGGGCAUCAAACAGAUUUUGAUACAGUUUCCUAUAUGGUAUUAGAAUUGGCGUGAAUCGGGGCCUCUCUGUGUUUUGUCCUGUACUAGCUUCCUGUCUCGAUGAACCUUGCUGGUUAGCAGCCACCUUUCUUAGCUGACUUACCGUAACUGAUUUAGAGUAACCCAUGUUGUUCACCUCAUCUUCUCUUCUCCUUGAGACUGACCUCUUGUUACUCUCUCCAACAUCGAUCUUUCCACUUCUUAUGGCAUUUUCGAUCAUCUCGCCAUUCAUGAUUAUGUCGGGAAAGCUUUUUGUAGCACUCCCCAACAUAUGUGUAAUGAACGGUGCCUUCAGGGUGUUAAUGAACAACAUGGUCAUUUCUUUUUCCAGGAGCGAUGGCUGAACUUGGACUGCGACCUCCCUCCAUCUCUGCGCGUAUUGUCUAAAGCUUUCACUCGGCUUCUUCUCCAUAUUUUGAAGGGUGAUCCUAUCAGGAGCCAUGUCCGUCACAUGACUAUACUGUUUCAUGAAUGCUUGUGCCAAGUCCCUCCAUGAUCCAAUCGUGGCACGACUCAAUUGAUUGUACCACUUGGAUGCUGCCCCAGUAAGGCUGUCUUGGAAACAGUGUAUCAAGAGUUGGUCGUUGUUAACAUAACCCGUCAUUCGCCUGCAGAACAUGGUGAUGUGAGCUGCUGGGCAGCUUGUCCCAUUGUACUUUUCAAAUUCAGGCAUCUUAAACUUAUGAGGGAGAACAAGGUCUGGCACCAAACUCAGCUCUUUUGCGUCAAUGCCCCGAUUACUUUCAGUGACUUCCAUCGCUUUAAACUUCUCCUCGAGCCACUUGCAUCGAUCCUCUAACUGUUUCGGUAAUUCCACCUUUAUUCUUUCCUUCUCAACCACUUCAUCAAAGUCAGGAAUGGUAGAGUUAACAUGAUUAUUUUCAAGAUUAGAACUCGGCCCAGUUUGGAGGUUCGAAAUACCAGCCCGAAACUGCUGAGGCAUGAUAGUGACAGUAGAUUUGCGCGGGUAUUCAGCUUGGGCUCGCGUAUGUGGAGGGGUGAAACCUAGAGUGUAAAGAAUUUCAUCAUCAUUUCCCUCAUCGACAUUUGCCAUGGGACCCUUUCCUUUAUCACUUCCCUUAGUUAUCAGUCGGGUUAACUUUUCCACUAUAUCCUCCUGAGAUUCCCGUAUCUUCUCAGACAUUUCUUGCUUCAUUUUGUCUAACCGCUCCUGCAUUUGUAGCUGAAGCCGGUCUUGCAUCUCCUUCUGGUACUGUUCGAGCUUCUCUAAUCUCUGAUCCAUAUCUUUUGUCUUUGCUCGAGUGCCGUAACGGUGCUUGGUAGGUUGGUUGGUUUCCAGGUUAACUGAGCAAUGAUUUUAAUUAAUUAGGAUCAUUUAGAGGUGUUUAAUGCAUAUGAUGCAAUGUGAUGCAAAUGCAUGAAAUGAAUGCCUAAAGAGAUGUUAACUUUGAUUCAAUUACAUUCAAAAAACUUUACUAGAAGACGAAUUUCUUUACAUAAAGUAGAUAUAUAUAUACGACUUUGCCCUCAUAUUCCAGUCGAAGACAUCUUCUCCUUCUCUAUCCGGAUGCUAGGAUAAACCUUGCGAAUUCUUCAAAAGGAACGUCUCUUCUACCUCCUGGGCUGUGACUCGUUGCUCCUUUAUCGUCGCGAUGCUCGUUGGCUUCCCUUAAAAAAAAGUUCAGCGGCUCUCGAAUAAUCUUCAUCUGUAAUGGCCCAAAUUCAAAAUUAUCGGAAUAGUGGUUUCGUAACCACAAAUCUGAUUUAAAGAGAAAUUUAUUUUAAUAUUUUUGCAUGAAUAUUGAUAUGAUAGGAAAAAUCGUAUGAAAAUAUCGAUAGAAAAAUUUAACUGAUUAAGUGGUUAGUUAGAAAAAGAAAUUAUUGAAGGAAUUAGGUAAAAAUAAGAUAUCGAGACUUCGAUCUCGUAAAACCGAGUCAAAAAUAUUUUUAUAAAUAUUUAUGAAGUGUUAGUAAUAUGGUAUUAAAAUUUCGUUAGAAAAUAUUAAUGUUUGGGUAGUCAAUUAAGUGAAAAGGACUAAAUUGAAAAAGAUGUAAAAGUUACUAGAGGGAUUAAAUAGCUCAAUUGUGAAAUGAGGAGGGACAUAAAUUGCAAAUAACCUCAAAAGGAGAUAUUUUGGGCGGCAUACGCUGAGAAAAAUCAGGAGAAUUGAAGAAAUAAGGGUAAAAUUGGAAUAUUACAAAAUUUGCUUUAAAAGUUAGGACUAAAGUGGAAUUAUCUAGAUUUCUCUUUAAUUUUCUGCACUCUCAUCAGCCACAAACGUCCUAAGGGUUUCUUCAAGCUGGUUUUUCAUAAUUUUUGCACCAAGUGAGUUAAUUCUUGCCUUUUUCUUGUAAUUUUUGCAUUUCUAAGACUUUUACAACUAGGUCCUAUUACUUAAUUCAUUAGUUUUUGAUUUUAUGAAUGAUAUUGAAAGUUGAUAUGAAUAUGUACUGGAAUUUUAUGAGGAAAUAGGAUGAAAUUGAAGCUUUAAUUUGUUUAUGAGAUGAUUUUAUUAGGUAAUUCCAAUAGAAAUUGAUUUGUAGGACCUAAUUGUGAAAAAGUUUGGAAUUAAAGUUUAGUGCUGAAAUUCUUAUUUCCAAAGGUUAUAAGGUAGUUUAAAGUGAUAUAAUAAAGUGUUGAUUGAGAAAAAUUAGCUCAAUUGAGAGGUUAAUUGAGCAGGGACGAAAUUAUCAUUGUUGAAAGUUUAGGGGAAAAAUGGUAAUUAACACCAUGCACUAAAACAGUUUUGGACAGCAGCAGUACUUAACUUUGAAAAAUCACAAAAUAUUAAAGGUUAUUGAGUCUAGUUUCUUAUAAAAGAAACGGUGUAAGAAAUGGAAUUGUAAAUCAUGAGAUAUAAUAGAAUUUGUGAGACAAGGUCAGAAUGAAUUCGGGUUCCCCUGUUCUGAUUUUGGAAAAUCAUUAAAAAUUGUAAAAAAACGAUUAUGAGUUAUAAUUUAUAUGCUUAGAAUCCUUAAUGAGUCUAUUUUCUGAGGAAAUAAAGGGAAGCAUCAUCCUAAUUCUGUACAGUGAGAUAAUUAAUUUUUAGUGAAGAGGGGUCAGAACUGUCAUACAGUGAAACAGGGGAAACUUUAAAGAAUAAACUGUACUUAUUGGCUAAACCAAAAAUUCUGAAAUUUUUAUGGUAAGAAGAUAUGUGAGUCUAGUUUCAGGAAAAAUUAACGGAUCUUAAUUUGGAGUUCUGUAGCUCAAGAUAUAAAUAAUUUAGUGACUGUGACUCAGUGAGGCAGCUUUGAAUGCACUAUAAAUAAUAAUGGAAUUGUAGAGAAAGUUACAUAUGAACAUGAAAUGUAUUAGAUUAAUGAUUAAAUUUAUUUAUUUAGAUCCGGAAAAUUCAAAUACGAAGCAAGAUCGAGGAAAAGAAAAAGUUCGGGAUUAGUAGAUUUUUGGUUACGAACAAGUGUCGAGGUAAGUUCGUGUAACUUGAAUUAUAUUCAUAAAUGCUUGAAAUGUUUGUUAUUGAUGUGAAUAUGAGUUGGAUGUUUAUUGUAUGAUAAUUGAUGAAGUAUUGAUAUUCUUGAUGAAAAGAGAAAAUAAAUCCCGGUUGAAUGAAAGGAAAAUUCGAUGGAUCUCUGAAAAGGAAUUGACGGUAAAAAGGAUCUAGCCCGGACGGGUGAUCCUAUCCUGAUAUAGCCCUCCCGAAGAAUAUGUGGAAAAUUGAUUUAGCCCGGACGGGUAAUCCGAAUUAGGGUCUGAAUUUAGCCUGGACUGGUAAUUCAGAUCCAAGCUCAUUAGAGUAAUUGUCGUUGCAGGGGAUUUAGCCUGGACUGGUAAUCCUGACAAUACUCUAUGAGUUUAUAUUACAGGGGAUUUAGCCUGGACUGGUAAUCCCGCUGUAAGGAUGAGGUUCGCGGGAGUGUGCUCUCUGAAAUAGAAAUGUGCGCACAUGAAUAUGAAUUGACGGACCCGGAUUUGUACACUUAGGUGUACCCCAGAAUAUCCAUCGAAAUUCCAAGUAGUUCAACGGGAUAAAUGUGGAAAAAUAAUAAGGAAAUGGAAAUCAUGGAAUUGAUGAGCUCAUCAAUCAUUUAUCUUUGUAAUGAAUUUGUAUGAGGUUGAGUUUGUAUGUGAUAGGUAUAUGUUUAUGUGAAUUGGAUGUGUGCUUGUGUUAUUAAAUGAUGGAUGUAUAAGUAUGGUAAGUAUAAUUCCUGUUGCAUGAACUUACUAAGCACAAAGUGCUUACCCUGUUUCUUUUUCCCCUGUUUGUAGAGUUAAGAGCUCGGAAGUCGGAUUUGGUCGGAGACACAUCACACUAUCAAUCUCGAGAUCUCGGUACAUAAAGGAACUUUAUUUUGGAAAUCAAUGGCAUGUAUAAGCUAGUAAAUUAGAUGUUAAUGUGAAAUGAAUGUAUGGUUAGCCAUUGGUAUGGCUAACAAAUUUUGGUUUUGGUAUGUGAUGAAAUUAUCUUAUGAAUAUGAUAAAUCUAUCUUAAAAAAAAAAAUUCGGUAAAAUCUGGUAAUGCCUUAUACUCUAUUUCGGCGACGAAUACGGGUAGGGGGUAUUACAUCAUCAGCUUGAGUCUUCGGGCAACGGAGCAAUGGUUAUGUAGUCCUCCAUUAAACUAUCAUCUUCCUCUAGUUGUGUUUUCUCGGAACAUAUUCGGGCAACCGUAUUAUUUUCCACUUUAUCAAGAAACCCAUUUCCUUAUGACAAGCUCUCUAUUAACAACCGAACGUGAAUCAACACCUCUUUUAUGAUGAAAAAUGCAAUGCAAUCAUGAUGUCAUGCAAUCAAAACAAAAUGCAACAAGUUAGUAUCGGGUAUAAACAUUAAAUCCAAUAUAAGCAAGAAAUAAUAAAAACUCCUAGUCAGGUAUCUCCUAAGGUUUAGAGUACUUCUACCUAAGGUAAGUUCCUAAAGCUCACUAUAUGAGGUUUAGUUUCUAGAGUAAAGGUACCCGAACCAGCAGAUUCCUCGAUCCUCACCCAUUAUAGGCUCAUGUGGAUCAAGUUUAGUUCAGGGGGAUACAUUUCCCUAUGGCUGCACGGAGAUGAAAAUCUCACGAAGACAUAGGUACGGAUGUAUCCCGGAAGCGAUCCACUACCCUGCACGGAGGUGAAAACCUCACGAAGGACUAGUUUCUCGCUCCCACUUAAAGGGUAAAAUGCAAAAUGCAAAUGCAGAGUUGCCAACAUACCAAAACUCAAUGAAUACGAAGGGAACUCAUGAAAUUUUUUUUAAAACACUUUUGAUUUUCGACACAAAGACAAAUAUAAUCGGUUUAUGGCUCGACUCUCCAACGUCCCCAGUGGAGUCGCCAAGCUGUCGAAACCGCUUUUUUGAAAAAUAAAAAUUUGGUUGUCGACUUUAAAAAUAAAACUGGAGUCGCCACCGAUCCUUUAUUAAGGUGCGAUCGGCCCACCUUAAAAAUUAUUUUGGCCUACGAAUUUUGAGAAAAUGAGUUCGGGAGUCAGUUACGCACGAGGAAGUGUUAGCACACUCGUAACGCCCAAAAUCGGUACCAAAUUGAUUAUUUGAUGUCUUAGUGUCGAAGGUUAAAAAGAUUUUUAAAACAACUCAAAUGAUGAAAUCUGAAAAGGAUACUCAAUUGUUCAAGUCAUGUAAAGAAAUCGAGUCCCAAUACGUUAGGGUACAAUUUCUCAAAAUUCUCGAACUUUGAAUAUCACUUUUAUUUUAUGCGAAAAUUUUCAUUUUGGGAAAGUAACAUGCCACACCCAAUACGUUAGGACACGACAAGUUAAGUUCCCAAAAAUGAUUUUUAUUCUCAUGCAUUUUGAAUAAAGAAUAUUCCCAGCUUUUUAAGAUUGACAAAGAAAAUCAGAACCCAAUGCGUUAGGGCUCAAUUUUCCUCGGAAAUCCCAAACUUCGAAUAAUGCUUUUAUUAAAAAAAACAUUUGAAUCAUGAAAAUAACUUUGAUAUACGGUUAAAACCAAAAUAUAUUUUCAAAAGGGUACAUUGAAAAGUUAAUGUACAAUAUGAUACAAAACUUCAAUUUAAAAUACAUGUAUAUAUGUGUCUUUUCAAAAUAUAAGUAUGAGACAUAAAUAAAUUUUGAAAACGUGUAUGACAUAUAUUAAAACGGGUAUAUAUAAGUAUACGUAUAUAUAAAAAAAAUGAAAUAUAUAAAACAAAACAAAAACCUAUUAUAAUUUUCUAAGAANNNNNNNNNNNNNNNNNNNNNNNNNNNNNNNNNNNNNNNNNNNNNNNNNNNNNNNNNNNNNNNNNNNNNNNNNNNNNNNNNNNNNNNNNNNNNNNNNNNNUAUGCGAAAUUUAUGAAAAUAAGAUAAAAGUAUAAAAAUAUGUACAUGUGUAUAUAUUUACAAAAAAGUAUACAUAUAAAAUAUAAAGUAUAUAUAAAAAGUAAAUAACAAAAAUAAAAAAACAUAGGUAUAAAAUAUAUGCAUUUAUUUAUAAAACUUUAAUAUAUAUAUAUAUACCUAUAUAAAAAAAACCCAUAUGUAUAUUAUAUAUAAAAAACUAUGCGUAUAUAUAUAUAUAUAUAUGUAUAGAAAAUAUGAUAAUAAUCAAUAAUAAUAACUAAUAUAAUAAAAAUAAUUAAUUUUAAUGAUAAAAUAAUUAAUAACAAGGGACCCAAAUUGAAACUACAGGAAACUUUCAGGUAAACAUUUAAAAUAAUAAAAGCUGAAGACUAAUUUGUAGUGCGCUGGAAACAUCAGGGAGUAAACGAGCAAAUAUACCAGCCCCUUAUACGCAACAUUUUCAUGUUGGACCAAAUUGAAACAGGAAACAGACGUGCGGUCAAAAUUAAAAAUAAAAAAAAUUACAUUGAAGGUGACUCAAAAACAGAGGGACCAGUUGCGCAAAUUCCCCAUUCAGGGCCAGAACGCGCGGACCCUGCUUGCGGGUCGGGUCGACGCGCGGAUCUGGCCCCUUGCAAAACGGCGCCGUUUCACUCUUAUUAUUUAAAACAGUUUUCUUCUUCUUUUUUUUUAAAAAUCUGUAGCCAACAAACAAAAAAACUUUUAACCCUCUGCUAGGUUUUUUUUUAAAAAAAACUCCUUUUGUUUUUGUGCCGUCGCUCGUCGGCCACCGGAGCCCCGAUGACGGCAGAGAUGGUAGCAAACGGCGGCCCGAACACAAAGGUAAACUCCUCUUCACUCUCUUCUCUUUAUAAAUCAACAGUAAACAUGGAAGAAAAAAAAAUGAACGCCGAAAAAAAAAACCACCUUUAUAUUCAAGAAAAGUUUGUAUUUUCCUUUCUUUUUCUCUGUAUUUUUCAGUGUUUUUGUGUGCACUCCUUUACACCGAAAAUCCCCCCUUUAUUCUCUUUACAAAUCGGUUUAUAUAUAACCGAAAAAUAUAAAAAAAAUGCAAAAUCAAAGAAAUAUUUUCUGUUAUUGCUGCACUUUCUGCCAUUUUCCAGUUUUUUCUCGCAGGUAUGGGCACUGUUGGGGAGUGCUCACGCUCGUGGAGGCGCAAAUCGCGCGGAGGGAGGACUCUGGCCCGCAUUGUGCGGCGGCUGGAGUUGCUGGAGGCUGCCAUUAAGGUUUGGGGUAUGGGGGUUGCUAGUUGGGCCAGGUUUAGGGUUAUUGGGCCUGUAUAUUUGGUUUUUUAGUGGGCCGGACAAUUUGGGCUUGUACAAUUACUUUUCCCAACAGAUAUCUUUGUCCUUUGCAACCAAAAAAAAAAAAAAACAAAGAAAAACCAACCAUCCUAUUUUCUAAUUUAAAAAAAUAUUUUCCUUUUUGUGAAAAUAGAUGUUUUCGAAGUAUUGUUGAUUCAAAAGUAACAAAUUUUUCAACAAGUCGAUAUUUUUCUCUCAAUAUUUUCUAAAAGAAUGACAAUUUCAUAAACAACAGCUAUACUCAUGCUAUUCAAAUGUAUCUUAAUAAAACCCUAUCAUCAUUGAUGUCUAAAAGGAAUUUUUUAUCCCAUUUAAAGCUAAAAGCAACUAUUUUUUUAAAAGCCAAAUUAGCUUUUCAAAACCAUCUUUUUUAAGUCAAAUCAAAAACUUCAAAUUUCGUUUUUACUUUUCUAAAGCUAGUUUUGAGUGUCUAAAUACAAUUUUAUCUCUCAUUUAAUCUAUAACUUUUAUAAAGUAUAGGGACUAAUAGCAGAAUUUAACCCAAAUUUUGUGAUAUUUGAUUCCUCUCCCAUUUUUCUAAUCCAAACAUAAAGUUAGAAAAGGGGAGAUUCCUAUGCUGCUCCAAAUUGUAAGGUUUAUAUCUUGUAGUGAAACAAAAUUACAAAAUUAUAAUUUUGUCAUGUGCCUUUGGAUUUUAAUUUUUUUUAAUAUAUGGUAGUAUUAUAAUUUCAUUAUCGAUGUAUAAAAAAAUAAUCCAACUAUAAUUGAGACCCAGGUAAAAAGCCAGAAAAUUUAUCUUAUCUUAUCUUUCUGCUCUUUUAAUCCUUUAAUGAUCUGUUAAUUUUUGAGAAAGGUACAAAUGAAAUUCUACGUGUGAGAGGAAUGUUAAACUAAGUCGUGAUUCUCUAAACUCCUGCAUGUAUUGCAAUUGAGGUGAUGGAUACAAUGAAUGUUUUGUAGAGUGUAAAUUCUUCUUCUUCUUCGAUUAAGGUUCAAUUUAUCACUUUGUAUAAGAUUAAGGGAAAGGGUAUGUAUGAGUAUAGCUUAAGAUUGUUUUUUUAUCCAUAAAAAAAAUGGUGAUCUAUUUUAUUUUAUUCUUUGCUUAAGGAUCGCGUGAUAUCCUUGAAAAAAAAUAUAAAGUAGUAGGAAUAAAUCCCAAAAUUAUAUAUAAAUUAUGGUUUAAUGUGUAAUUGUAUACAUAAAAUUUUAAUUUGAUCCAAUUCUUCUAAAUUAUUAACACAAUUAUCGAUAUAACAUCAUUUUAUGUUUAUAUAUUGCAUACAUAAAUAAUUAUAUUCAUCGGAUAUAAAAAUAAAUUGACAUAUUUAUUUCUUUAAAUGUGCAUGACUAAAUCAAAAUUGAAGUUUCAAGUAUACAUUUGAACCACAAUUAGAGUUUUAUGUGUAUAAUUACACCAAAUUAAAAUUAUGUAUACAAUUGCACAUUAAAUCAAAGUUCAUAUAUAAUUUUGAGAUUUAUCCUUAACUAAUAUAAAGAACGGAGAUUUAUUAGCGUAACUGUUUAUUUCAUUCGUAAAUCACUUAACUUUUCUUAUUGUUGUCCAUGAUUAUCAUUUUUUGUUCACAUUAGUACUAAAACUUUGUUAUUUUUCUCAAUUUGAUCUCUAAACUCAAAAUUUUUUAAGGUAUGAUGAUGUGACAUUAUGAGAUUAUGCAAUGUCAUCACUUGAAUUUUUUUAAAAGUUUUCUUUAUGGUUUCCCCCCUUAAAUUGGUUCAUUUUAUAAAAUUAUUAUUUUAAUAAACAAAUUUCAUGUUAGAAACUGAGAAAAAAUAUUUACUUAUAAAUAUUUUUAUAAUUUUAUAUAUUUUUAUAAUCUUAUGUAUUUUUAUCAAGAAUGAGCUUGUAAAUAGUUUUUUUAUGUUUUGAAGUUUUUUUACUUUUAAGAAUUAAGACUAAAUUGAUAAAAUGUGUGAAGUUGAGGGUUAAAUUUGUUAAAAUUUUUUAUUAUGCCAAUAAAAAGAGGCCAUUAAAGUGAUUUAAUGGAUGAGUGACCAAAAUAUUAAAUUUCAAUAACGUUAAUAACUAAAAUAGUAAUUUUUAAACCUGCGUAAACCAAAACAAAAAUAUGCUAGUAAUUGGAUGUCUAUUUUUAUAAUUUACCCAUAAUAAUAUUAAAUGCAAGAUGCAAAGGUAAAAAGAAUCAAAUUAAAUUAUCAUUUUUUAUGAAACCCAAAAAUACAAAAUUAAAAGACUAAAAAAGAAAAUAAAUAAAAUUAUUAAUUUUUGAGAAGGAUCAUCUAAAAGGGGUGAAGUGCACUUACAUGUUCCCUCGAUAGUCUAUGAUUUGAGAGGAGUUAGACGUAAAUUAUUCUGGUUCUUUGAAUAAGAUUCAAUUAAUCACUUUGGAUGGAUUAAGGAAAAGAGUAGCUAUGGAGAUUGCUUAAGAUUGUUUUUCAUCACUUUGAAUCAUUCUUUACUUCAAGUCGAACAUACUUUACAACUAAUUUUUGCAAUUUUCAAAUAAAUGAUAGUUAGUGGUUCAUGUCAUUUUGCAACUCUCCUAUUUUGUUCAUCACUUUCAUUACUUAAAAGAGUACUAUAUAAUAAUAAUUCUUCACUUCACAUGGCAGCUGGAACAGGAAAUAUUGAUGCCUUUUACGCUCUAGUUCGAGAGCAUCCAUACAUGUUGGAGCAUAUUGAUCAGAUUCCUUCCAUCGAUACUCCACUUCACAUAGCAGCAAAUGAAGGCCAAAUUAAUUUUGCAACGGAGAUGAUGAACUUGAAGCCUUCAUUUGCUCGGAAGCUGAACCAAGACGGGUUUAGCCCCAUGCACUUGGCGUUCAGAAAUGGGCACCCCAAGCGAAUGCUUCGACUGUUGAAAAUCGAUAAUGAUCUGGUUCGCGUCAAAGGAAGGCAAGGGAUGACCCCAUUCCUUUGGGCUGCCACAGUGGGGAACAGGGAUUUAAAUUGCGGUCGCAUUGCGUUUAUCGUGGUUGCGGGCAUAACGGAUGCUAUUGCGGUUAUUGCGAGUAUCGAGGUCGUGAAUUUUAAAAAAAAUUCACACAACUUAUUGUAAAAUAUAAUAGCAGUUUCGGACGGUGCCGCUACCGCUAUUUAACGGCGCUAUUUCGGUAACGGACCGCUAUUUAAAUCCCUGGACUGGACUGGGGAACUCUAAUCUUUUAUUCCAGUUCCUUGAAGCUUGCCCUGAAUGCAUGGAAGAUGUGACGGUUCGAAACGAGACUGCAUUAAGCUUCGAAAAACGACCACAUCGGAGCUUUGAAUCUCUUGAUUGGAUGGCUUCAAAGGAACUGUCGUGGAGGAGCCUUUGAUUUGUCAGAAAAGGUUGUAAAUUGGAGAGAUGAAUAUGACAACACUGUGUUGCACAUUACAGCUAAAAAGGAACAAUAUGAGGUAUCUGCAAUGCAACUAUAUUAUCGUUUACUUUUGGGGUUUGAAUUUCUUUUUGCUGCCGGUAUUUAUCUGAUUGUGAUAAGUUUGAUUCUUUUGGUAGUGUUUGUAAGAGGAAUUUGGAUUUGACUUUCUGUUUUAUAAAUUCAUCAUUUCUAUUUUUUUUUUUUGUUUGGAUUUUUUGUUUAGAUGACUCAAAUUUAGAUUUGAGAUUCAACGACUUAAUUUUUUUAAAAUUUCAUUAUCAAGGAGGAUUUUGAAUAAAAUUGUCUGAACCCGACCAGUUAGACCGAGAACUAAUUAAUGUAUUGAUUCAGAGAAAGACAUUAAGUCGAUUGAAUUGGACAAAAAACCCCUUGAUCAAGUAGUUAAAACAGACAUUUUUAUUUUAUGAACCUUUAAUGAUUUAUUUAAUAAAACUGAACUGAUCGGUUGAACUAUCAAUUUGAUCAUUAGUUUUCAUAAUAAAGUGGAAAACGCAUUUUAUUCAUUCAAAAUCUAGGUUUUCAGAACCAAACUAUAGUAGUCAAACCUAUCAAACUGAUUGCUUUUUCCACUUUGUUUCAUUAAGUCGAGGUUUUCAAAAUAAGUAGUUUGAUCGGUUUGACUAUUAAUUUGAUUAUGAAAACAUUGAUCUUGAAUGAAUAAAAUGAUUUUUCCACUUGGUUAGGAACAGUAGUUUAGGCUAAAACUAAUUGGUGUUUGUAUAUUAUUUGAAAGAGUUUUUUUUUUCUGAAAGAAUGUAACUUUCUGUUUUUAUAUUUUUAUAAGUUUUUGGGUUAAAAUAUUAGAAAGGACUCUCAAUUUUAUUGUAUUAUUUAUACUUUGUUUACACUUAAAUAAAAUCAUAUAAUUUGAUUUGUACUUAAAUAAAUGGACUUAGAUGUAAAUUAAGAGUCGAGGGUUUAUAAAUUAAAAUCGUGAAAAUUAUGGUAUAAAUGAAAAUUUUAAAUAUUUAUACUGUAUUAAAUUAAAUGCAUUAAGCUUCGUCACUGUUUUCAAAAUUGGACUGGCUUGUCAAAUCGAUUGGAUCGUGAACCAACCGGGAUACCAAUCCAGAAUAAGGAGUCACACCAGUUGAACCGAUCGGAUCAGUCGAUCGGAUUAGUCAAACUGGUCGGAUNNNNNNNNNNNNNNNNNNNNNNNNNNNNNNNNNNNNNNNNNNNNNNNNNNNNNNNNNNNNNNNNNNNNNNNNNNNNNNNNNNNNNNNNNNNNNNNNNNNNNNNNNNNNNNNNNNNNNNNNNNNNNNNNNNNNNNNNNNNNNNNNNNNNNNNNNNNNNNNNNNNNNNNNNNNNNNNNNNNNNNNNNNNNNNNNNNNNNNNNNNNNNNNNNNNNNNNNNNNNNNNNNNNNNNNNNNNNNNNNNNNNNNNNNNNNNNNNNNNNNNNNNNNNNNNNNNNNNNNNNNNNNNNNNNNNNNNNNNNNNNNNNNNNNNNNNCAAUUUUUUUUUUUUUGUUAUGAAAUUAGAUUUACGUUUCCAAAGAGUGGAUUUGAUAAUGUAUUAAUUAUGCAGGCACUGAAGCUGUUGUUAUAUACAAUGUUGGGUUACAUGUAACAGCUAAGAACUCGGAAGGUUUGAUGGCUCGAGAAAUCAUAGAAAAUGUUGAAAGAAAAGGCUUGAACAUGAGUGGUGAAGAUGAUGACACUGCCGACAAGAUUAAGCGCAUUAAGAAAAAACUUGAUACCCUAGAACUAAUAUUAAUAGUGUUAAUUCGUGCAAGGAAUGGAUUGUCGGAGAACAUGAUCAACGCAACGCUGGUGACUGUGGCACUGGUUAUAACAGCAGUCGACCAAUCAUCUUUCAGCCCACCCAGAGGUGUUUGGCAAGUUGAUAACAACAGUAUCCCCACCACCACCUCAAACGUUACUACUACUGCUCUUCAAAUCUUUGACGACAAUUACAAUAACUCCAGAUUCAAACACCUGUUGGGUCAAGAAUCAAGGAAAACAGGUACAACAAUCAUGAAUCCCGACUUGUAUUCAAUGUUUUGGGUUUGUAAUCUCCUGACAUUUGAGCUUCCGCUCCUCUCCAAUGUUCCUUCUUUUCUUCUCAUCCCGCUUUAUUAUCUAAGCGUCUCCUACUUUUACUCGAUGACACUAAUAUCCCCGUCGUGGUUCUGGGAAAACGUCAAUUAUAUUCUCACGUGGUUAGCCAUUCUUCUCCCACUUCGCUUACUUCGCUUAAUCAUACGACCACUUAUGUCACCAGCUUACAAGGAGUACAUACGCUUACAUAGAGCUGUUACUAGAGCCAACAAAGUCGGGAUCAUCCAACCCUUGCUAAGGGGUAAUCUAGUUGAUAUUUUAUUAUGUCCUUGAUUUUUUUUUUAAUUGAACUUCUUUUUCUUUUUGUUUAUGUAAUUGCUUGGGAUAAAUUUAUGAAUAAAAUUACUUUGGUUAAACUACAUCAAUAGUCUUUUAAUUUUGUUUAUAUUUAUGUUUCAAUCACUAAAUUUUUAAAACUUAAAAAUUUAUUAUUAAUGUUAUCGGAUUGUUAUUAGGAUAAUACGGGUUUGAUGUGAAACGUUAAAUAUGCCAUAUGUUUAAAAAAAUUUCCUUUCUCUCCUUUUUCGGAUAUUAAAAUAUUUCUUCUUUUCACCUUAUCCUCUCUUCUCCUUCUUUCUCCACCAUUAAUGGUCUCACCAUCUUACUAUUGCCAGUACUCACCAGUCACCACUAUCAACAAUUUCACCAUCUCACCACAACCAAACAUGAACCAACAAACCGACUUUACCCAUAAUAAUACUCAAUAUAAGGUGUUUUUAUCUCUUCCCUUUAUGAAUAUAAUUGGUUCGAUUUUUUGGUUCAAACAAUCAACACUCUAACAGUCAAUAGACUGUGGGAUAGAUCACGUGCAAAACCAACCUAACCUAUGAGUAUAUCCAGAAGAGAAAAAUUAUACAAGUCCAACUCCCCCACAAGUUGCCAAUCGGCUCAUCCACCUUCGAAUUGAUUGGUGCAAUUGGAAUUACAUUGCCAAAUGAAAUACAUGAAGUUCAAGUGCUGACCAUCUACUAGAGGUGGACCAAGUAAAGACCAAUAUUCCAGUGUUGAUUCUCCAAGGCCCUCGAAGAGCCACCAACGCUGACAUCGCCUCCAGACUUGAUUGUUAUUAUUAUAUUCUUUUCAAAUUAUUUUAGUUGUUGUUUAGAAUGGAUCGUGACUAAUUUUUAUUAUGUAAACAAGUUUUGAAUAUUUUAUAUGAUUGAGAGACUUGUAUGGAUGAUUAUAUUGAAUUUAGAGAGCAGUUAAAUUAUUCAAGUGAAAAAAGUUAUUUUGUAAUAGUGCAUUUGAUUGUAAAAUCUUUUUGUUGUGAUUUUAUAGGCUAAGUUCUCAGGUGAUAGAUCUAGUCUUCAAGGUACAAGAGUAAUUAAGGAUUUUAAACCGGGAUGUGUUAGAAUUAUGUUCAAUGGUUGUAAUUGUUGAAAAAUAGUGGAUUCUUCUCAUUGAAUUAGGCAUAGUAGGCAUAGAGAAAUUGAAUUGCGUCAACAACCUUGUUAUCCUCUAUUUUAAUUUUGGUAUCACAAUGCUUGCAGAAGUACCCACCUCUGCAAUCACUUUUGCUCGUAAUUGCGUAAAUAACAUUGUUAUCCUCUUUUUUUGCCAUUGUUUUUAUAAUUUAAAAACUUUUUUUAUAACUUUAAAAUGUAAAUUUUAGGAUUUUAGAGCUUUUUGAUGUUUUUAGAUUUUUAAAAAACAAAAUUUAGAAUUAUUGUUUAAAAAAUUUUAAAAGUAUGAAAACAAUAUUUUUAGUUAUAGUCAAUUUUGUUAUUAACCCUUUGAAUUAGCGUGUCACAAUCCUCUUAACAGGAGUUAAAGGAUGGGUGACCAAAAUAUAACAAUUUAAUAACGGUAGUAACUAUGACAUAAAUUUUGAAAGUUAAGCGACUAAAAUAUAAAUUUGAAGUUUUUUUUAGGAAUUAUUGUUAUAAGUUGCCCUGAUUUUAAAUUGAAUGAGAAAAAGAGGUAUUAGUUAUAGAAAGCAGUAGAAUGACAGACAACAAGCAUCUAUUUUUAUUGUUGGUUUAAUGGCUAUGGGUAUUCGUACUUGAUUUAUGUCAUAAGUUCCAACAAAAGAUAUAAAAUAAAUGAAAAAAGAGUAUCAAACAAAUCAUAUAAAAACAGGUUUAUAAUUCGUAUUUUUCACGAUUAAUUAUGUACGUGUUUUUAAUUUAAAUUUUAUUCUUUAUUCGAUAUGAUUGGACAGCAUAUAAUUACUGUAGUAACUAAAAAAUGACUAAAUCCCUAAACAUGUUUAAUUGUAAUGUAAAUUAUGGUUUCAAUUUAAGAAACCAGCUUCCAUAAAUAAAAAGACUGGUUGUUUAUUGAGCCACUAGAAGAGGCGGCGGAGGAGGAGUCGCCUAAAAUUGGAAAUAAAAUGAUUUAACGUCCUUCUUUCUCCUUUGAAUAUUCCAAGCUGUCCAUUAGUUUGACUAGUAAAGUCUAUAUGAAGUAUGGAUAUUAUUCCAAAUCAUCAACUUUAUCCACCAACAUAGUUGAGCUAUUAACACGUGUCUAUUUAUUUGCAUAAAUCGAGCCAAUGGUUUUGGAAUACUUUCUAUGGGAAUGGGUAUAUCCUUUUUUUGGGGUCAAAUAAAUCUGAAUUACUAUUUUGGUACAAAAUAAUUGAUAAAAAAUUUAUAAUUUAAAAAAAGAAAAGAAAAGAAGUAACAAAUGUUAUAAAUGUUCCAUAUCUUCAAUUAUUUACCUCAAAAUUUGUUUUAUGAUCACUUUUUUUAAAAUUAAAUAAGAUUGAUUAAAAAUAUUCACCAUAUAAUUCAAAAUUUUAAACAUUUUAUUUUCAAACUCGUAUUCCUUAAUAAAUAAUAUAUUUUAAACUAUCUUGUUAAUACUAAUUUCUUGAUAANNNNNNNNNNNNNNNNNNNNNNNNNNNNNNNNNNNNNNNNNNNNNNNNNNNNNNNNNNNNNNNNNNNNNNNNNNNNNNNNNNNNNNNNNNNNNNNNNNNNNNNNNNNNNNNNNNNNNNNNNNNNNNNNNNNNNNNNNNNNNNNNNNNNNNNNNNNNNNNNNNNNNNNNNNNNNNNNNNNNNNNNNNNNNNNNNNNNNNNNNNNNNNNNNNNNNNNNNNNNNNNNNNNNNNNNNNNNNNNNNNNNNNNNNNNNNNNNNNNNNNNNNNNNNNNNNNNNNNNNNNNNNNNNNNNNNNNNNNNNNNNNNNNNNNNNNNNNNNNNNNNNNNNNNNNNNNNNNNNNNNNNNNNNNNNNNNNNNNNNNNNNNNNNNNNNNNNNNNNNNNNNNNNNNNNNNNNNNNNNNNNNNNUUAUCUUCCUCUCUUGUGUUAAGAAUUCCUUUAAAGUUUGUCAUCAAUGGUAUUAGAGCCAGGUUUAGCGUGUUUUGUAUUAUGUUCCAAAUACGAUGUCACAACAUCCGAGUGAUUACGAUAAAUUUGUUCAACCUGCUCUUCCUUGCUUUGAUGGUCAUUAUAAUCAUUAAUGGGGCAUGUUAAUAGAAAAUUUCUUAAGGUCAAAAGAAUAUUGGUCUGUUGUUGAGGAUGGAAUCCAAGAGCUAGAAGUUGGAACCAGUUUGACAGAUGCACGGAAGAUGGAGACUAAAUUCUUAGAAAUAACAAUAUAUGGACUAAUAUUUAAAUUUGUAAAAAGUACAAGGACUUAUGAUAUAUUUUAACAUUUUAUUAUGUUUAUACUAUAAUUUAAUUUGAAUAUUUGUUAAUGCCAAAAUGAUAAUAAUAACAUGACAUAAUAAUGAUAAUGAUGAUGAUGUGUGAAAAUAAAAAUACUUCACAUUUAAAUUGAUUAUAAUUUAAAUUUAUAUAUUUCGUAUAUCAUAAUAUUAAUGAAUUUGAGUUUAUAUAUUCUAUAUAUUAUAAUAUUAACAAAUUUGAGUUUUUUAGUAUUUCUUAUUCAUUUAGUUUUAAUUUUGGAAGUGAUAAUUUUGGAAGUGAUUUCAGUGAUGGUUUUGACCUCGUCCUCUCCAGUUUAGUGGAUAUUCGAUUCUUUUGCCGAUUUUAUCUACUACUUUAGAUCAUCCGAGAUUAAUUUUCUCAUAGUGUUAAAUGUUUGCAAUCACUCCAAAUAACCAUACUUGAGUUGUGAUGGAGACGAUUGCUAACUUGCUAUAUAUUAUCGAUUUUAUAGCAUAAUAUUUAAAAGUAAUUUUUUUCCGCCAUACUAAAAAUUUUAAAUAUUUUAAGAGUACAAUUUUUAAAAGCGAAGCUGGUCAACUUGCCCUAAAGCAAAUGGCGAAAAUGCGUCGAAAUUAUAUUGAAGUGAGAAAUGGGGAGUGGGAGUCAAGAUAUUGAUGUCUGUAAUAGGCGGCCAUCGAUUCAUAUCCGUCGUUAGAUAUAAAUAUAUUAAUCAUUUUUUAAAAUAUUCGAUAUUUUUAUGCAAUAUAAAUAUACCCUUGAGGGAUUAGUUUAGUGUCAGAUUGAGCUAAAUCAGUAAGGAUAGUCAUUUUGCAACUCUCCUAAUUUCUUCAUCAUUUAAAGAAGGAAACAAAAGCAUGGAUCCAAGCUUGAGAGAAGCAUAGCUGGAACAGGAGAUACUGAUGCCUUGUACGCUCUAAUUCGAAAGGAUCCGAACAUGUUGGAGCAUAUUGAUCAGAUUCCUUUCAUCGAUACUCCACUUCACAUAGCAGCAAAUGAAGGCCAAAUUAAGUUUGCAAUGGAGAUGAUCAACUUGAAGCCUUCGUUUGGUCGGAAGCUAAACCAAGACGGGUUUAGCCCCAUGCACUUGGCCUUCAAAAUGGGGCAUACCAAGCUAGUGCUUCGACUGNNNNNNNNNNNNNNNNNNNNNNNNNNNNNNNNNNNNNNNNNNNNNNNNNNNNNNNNNNNNNNNNNNNNNNNNNNNNNNNNNNNNNNNNNNNNNNNNNNNNNNNNNNNNNNNNNNNNNNNNNNNNNNNNNNNNNNNNNNNNNNNNNNNNNNNNNNNNNNNNNNNNNNNNNNNNNNNNNNNNNNNNNNNNNNNNNNNNNNNNNNNNNNNNNNNNNNNNNNNNNNNNNNNNNNNNNNNNNNNNNNNNNNNNNNNNNNNNNNNNNNNNNNNNNNNNNNNNNNNNNNNNNNNNNNNNNNNNNNNNNNNNNNNNNNNNNNNNNNNNNNNNNNNNNNNNNNNNNNNNNNNNNNNNNNNNNNNNNNNNNNNNNNNNNNNNNNNNNNNNNNNNNNNNNNNNNNNNNNNNNNNNNNNNNNNNNNNNNNNNNNNNNNNNNNNNNNNNNNNNNNNNNNNNNNNNNNNNNNNNNNNNNNNNNNNNNNNNNNNNNNNNNNNNNNNNNNNNNNNNNNNNNNNNNNNNNNNNNNNNNNAGCGCCGAAGACGAUGAUAAGACCACCGCCAAGAUUAAGCGCAUUAAGAAAAGAACUAGUCGGUCUGAAAGAGCAUUAGUAAGGUUGAUUCGUACAAAGAAUGGGUUGUCGGAGAACAUGAUCAACGCAACACUGGUGGUAGCGGCGCUGGUCAUAACAGCGAUCUACCAAUCAUCUUUAAGCCCACCGAGAGGUCUUUGGCAAGGUGAUAACACGAGUAACCCCACCACCACCUCAAACCUUACUACUACCACUAAAUUUAAACUCUUUAACGACAAAUACGCUGAAAAACAUUCUAAACGUGUGUUGGGUAAUGAAACAAUGAAAACUGGUACGGCAAUCAUGAAUCCCAACUUGUUUUUAGGGUUUUGGUUAUUCAAUUUUAUAGCAUUUGGGCUUCCGGUUCUUCUAACCGUUUUCCUUUUAUACGAUGUAGCUCGUAUUCUUCUUCUCCCGCUUUAUUUUCUAUCCGUCUCCUACUUUAACUGCAUGACAAUAAUAUCUCCGUCCAUGUUUUGGGCAAACCUCAACUCUGUUGUCAUGUGGACAGCCAUUAUUCUCCCGUCUGUCUUAGUUUUUGGAGGCGUAUGGUUAUGUAUGCUGCCAAAGCACCGGGAAAUCAGACAAAUACGCAGACGUGUCCGCAAUGACAAUAAUAUCGGAAUAAUUCAGUACUUGCGAAUGUCAGUCUAACUUAUAUAUUAUAUUUAUGUACCCUUUUCCAUUUUCUCUGUAUUAAUAUCUUUUCUUUUUGAAAAAAGAAAAAACACUAUGUAAUUGCUUUGGAUAAAUUUAAUAAAAACAGAUAUAUUUGAAGUAUUGUUUGUUUAAAAUCCACUGAUUUCUAAAUGUGUUAAUAUCAUUUUCGAGUUAUUAAUUAAAAAUAUCUUUAACAUAAAGAUAUAUGUAAUAAUUACAUACUUAUUAUUUUAUCUAUAUAAUAAAAAGUUAUUGAUUAAAAAGAUGAAUUAAAAAAUUAGAAAAUAAUAUAUUUGUUAAUUAAAAGUACUAUUUUUUUAAAAAAAUAACAUGAGAUAAAAAUAUAAAUAUGCGUAGGAGAUGUCUCAAAAAUAAAAUGACUAACAUUUAACUAUUUGAUCAAAUGAAUUAAUGCGUCAAGUUAUUAAAAAAUAUAUAUUUUAUCCUACAAGAUGCAUUUUACAAAAUCAACUUAUUUCUAUAAAUAUUAAAAAAAUCUACCUAAUACUCUAAUUAUUUUCUAAAAAGGACAUAUAUUGCUAGUGUACCCUAAAACUAGGAUGCGCCACGCUUUCUAAAGCAAAUAAUAAUAAUACAUUAAUCUAAAUUUCAUGAGCCCUUUUCUUAAUUCUAAGAAAUAAAAUCUCUCAAAUAAAAAUAAUAAAUAAAAUAAUCUUAAGUCUCGUAUGCGAAAUUGAGUUUUUGUGUCAAAUUUGUAUAUUCGUUAUAGAAAUGAUAAAUUAAGUAAAAUUCAUGUCCAAAAUUAAUUAAAAUAAAUAAUAAAAAUAUAUUAUCAUCUAUAUUUUAUAAUAUUAACUAUCAUUUAAAUAUAUAUUGUCUACUUUAUAACAUAAAUAUUUUAUCUUUUAAAAAAUACUCUUCUUCUUCUUUUUUACAAACAAAGACUGGACAUAUUUAUUGAAGUAAUACAACAAUGAGAAUAAAAAACAAAAACCAGCCAAAUAAAUAUAAACCCUAGGACUUAAAACAUUUUUCAUCUAAAAAUAAGAAUAUUAAAAUACUGAAAAACCUCCAAAUUUACCGUUAUCUACAUCCAUUACUAAUCGUAGACAGUGACAAAGACACUCGACAGAUGAUAAGCAAAAAAAAAGUACUCUUUUAACUACAAUACUAAAAGCGUCCGCUAACCAUUUUUCUAUUAAGAUAUUAAUCAAGACGGAUUAACUUAGUGUUAAAUCGAGUAAGUCUAGGGGUGGGCGGUGCAUUUAGUUUACUUUUUGUCUCACGCUACAGUAUCGUUACAGUAUCUAAUCUCACCGCCACCGCUGUUUUUAUACUAACCGCAGGUAAACCCACCACCCAUCCAAACUCACCCUAGAUUAAGUCCGUGGAUGAAUUUCCACAUCUUUUUUUAGGCAUUAAAUUGAGAGCCAAUCAGGACCUUCCCCUAAUUCCCCUUACCAAUCUAUAAAAAAUUGGAUCUUUGGUUUGAUUUUAUCAAUAAAAGAAAUUCCUUCCUCGGUUUCUUAAAUUUGAUAACUUUUAUUAUAUAAUAUAAUUUUGUUCACUUUUCAUCAAUAAUAGAAUAGAAAAUAGAUAGUUGCUUCCUAUUUCAGCAAUAUAAAUAGUUACCAUGUGUUUUUAUGUUUUUAAUUUUUAAUAUAAUUAAUGUUAUAACCCUCCUUAUGAAGCUAGUUAAUGUAAAGAAUAAUAAUUCUAAUUAUCUAUGCUUAAAAUUAAUUCAGUUGUGCUUUCAAUCAAUGUAUGAUUUUGAUAUUGCAAGAGGUGUCCAGCUAUGUGGUGAGAUCUUGAAGGUGUGUCUUUGUAACAACUUGAGAAGCUUUUUGGACUUUUUUCUUCUUCUUUUAGGUUUAUUAUUAGUAAAUGAAUUUUUGCUGCGAAAAAUUAGCCUAAAAACAAAAUAUAAAAAUGAUAGGAAAUAUGUUAAUUUUAGACGACAAUUAAUGACAUUGCAAUAUUACUUAACAACAUGAACAAUCCCCACCAUCGUAUUGUCAUUCCCAAGUAAUGGCGUAUUCUCUUUACUCGGAAAAUAUCCCUCCUAACGCUGGCCGAAAUUGGUUGAAACAUUAUGCAGCUAAUUUGGUAAGAUAAUGGACGUGUUUAUUGCAUCAAAAAGAUUUCGUUAGGUAUGGUAGGUUGGAAGAAGCAAAGAGAGCAUUGUGGAGUCUAGAUGGAAGGUGGUUCUCUAAUCAUAGAUUGACAGUCAGUAUGGCGAAGUUUAAACCUAGAGAUGAUUUGUGGAGGAAGGCAAAUGGGAGAGAGGUCAGACAACAUACAUAGAAUAUGGAAAGAAGAUGUGUUGAAGGAAAUACGGGGCCGCAUGCAAGUGAGAUUAUGGCAAAUAAUAAACAACAUGAAGAAAAUGACCCAAUCAAGUUGGACGAGAUGGUGGAAGAUUUAUGAAUUUCCAGAACAAAGUAGUAGAGGGAGCCAUUGAUGGAGAGAACUUGAAGUGGCUUGAAAAAUGUAUUGUGGGUAGAAUGAGAAACAAUGCUACUGUGGGGUUAUGGGGUGAUACUGGAAUUUAUAAAAUUGGAGUCCAAAGAUUAUCGGGUAAUGAUUUGUAUGAAUUGGAAGCCAAUGAAUGGGGAGAUGUUUUGCAAGUGUUUCAGAAAGUUGAACGGUGGACAACAAAGAUGAAAGAGUAAGGUGGUUAUCCUGUUACGAGAUUCCAAUACAUGGUCUUCGAGGAGGAAGUAGUUAAACAACUUGCUGCUAUUGAAUAGUAAAAUUGGUUUGAUUUAUUAUUUUUGGUGCAAACAAUCAACACUCAAACGGUCAAUCGGCUGUCGGGUAGAGCACGUGCAAAACCAACCUAGCAUAUGAGAAUAUAUCCAAAAGAAGAAACUUAUCCAAGUCCAACCCCCCACAAGUUCCCAGUCGGCUCAUCCCAUUGACCUUUCCACAACUUCGAAUUGAUUGGUGCAAUGCGAGGUCCAAUAUUGGAAGGAGAAUGGAAUCUUAACCGUGGGACCACACUUAAGCCGGCGUCCUAAAUGAUUAGAUGCGUGGAAGACGGUGGGUAUUCUUUCACCCAAUAACAUCACUACAUAUACACAAACCAUGUCUGCCCAUCUAGUGGGCUACUUGUGAUAAAACAGGAAAGCAAUGAAAAAUAAUAAUAUAAAGAAGAGAAAAACAAAAUCCUACACCUAAUAUAAUUUUUCCUAAAUACAAGAAAACAAGUUUUGGGAUAGAAAAUCAUAUCGAAGAUUAAACGAUUCAAUUCAUUUAGAUUUGAACGUUAAUUAAAUGAUUAAACAUUCAAAUCUCGUUAAAUUCAUGAACACAAUUUACAAGCUUUUUAUUAGUUAGAAUAUUCUCUAAUGCUUAAACGGUAUCAAUUCAAUCGAUUUAGUUCUUUUAUUAAGAACUAAGAACUGUCAGAGACAUUUUAAAAGGGUUACGUAUAGCAUGGGAGAAAAAGUUUUGUCAAUUAGAGAUUAAGAGUGAUAACACUCUUCUGAUGGAGAUGAUUGCAGAGAGAGGAGCAGUUGAUAGUUAGUUGAUGGAAUUACAUUCUAUUCAUGGAAUGAUGCAUUGAGAUUGAAAGAUUUGUUUUCGACAUAUCCCAAGAACUCACAAGAUUAUAGCGACAAGAUUCACUGAGGUCCAAGUAUUUAAAAAUCCACUUUAUUUUGUACAAGAUUUAGAACAAGCAGAUUACAUUAGCGUUACACAGACUAAUACGUUAUCUUAAUAGUAUUAUUUUAAUUUACGAAAAUAAUAAUAAUGGAGCCCAUGCAUGGUUUUGGAAUCUUUUCUAUGUCACAGCUCUGGGGAUGGGGUCAAGACACAACUAUCCUUUUUUGAGGUCAAAUAAAUCUCAAUUAGUUUUUUUAACCCUCUGUAUAUUUAUCUAAUAAAAUUUUGAUAUAAAAUUUUCCACAUUUCAUAAUGAUCGAAGAAGUGUAAAAAAAAAAGUUGAUAAAAAGUUUAUAAUUCAAAAUUGUUCCAUAUCUUGGAUUAUUUACCUGAAAAUUUGAUAUGUUAUAUAAAAAUUUAUUUUAUGAUCAAUAUAUAUCAAGAAAAAAAAUUGAUUAAAAAUAUCCACCAAAAUGAUAAGAAUGUACAUAAUUCAAAAUUUUAAACAUCUUAUUUUUAAACUGAUAUUCCUAUGUAAAUUAUAUAUUUUAAAAUAUGUUUUUAAUACUGAUAUUUCUUAAGAAAUUUGUUUCUAAAUUAAAUAUUUUUUUUUCAGAAUUAUCUUAAAAUUUUUGAAAUUUAUGUUUGUUUAAAUAUUGAAAUAAUUUUUGAUACGCUGCUUGUGGAAAAAGAUUGACAAAAAAUAGUAAAAUAUUAAAAAAAGGACACAUACUACCAAUACACAAAAUAUAUUAUCUAUUUUAUAACAUAUUACUUAAAAUAAAUAUUUUAUUUUCACAACAAUACUAAAAAUAUAAAUUUUAGAGUAAAAAUUUUUGAAAGCGAAGCUGGUCAACUUGCCUUUAAACAAGUGGCGAAAAUGCGUCCAAAUUAUAUCAAAGUGAGAAACAGGGAGUGGGAUUCAAGAUUUUGUCGUCUGUGAUAGGCGGCCACCGAUUUAUAUCCCUCAUCAAAUAUAGAUAUAUUAAUCAUUUUUUAAAAUAUUCGAUAUUUAUAUUCAAUAUAAAUCUACCCUUGACGGAAUAGUUUAGUGUAAGCUUGGUUUAAAUCAGUUGAGGUUUCAAAUAAGGAUAGUUUGCAACUCUCCUAAUUUCUUCAUCAUUUAAAGAAAGAAACAAAAGCAUGGAUCCAAGCUUGAGAGAAGUAGCUGGAACAGGAGAUACUGAUGCCUUGUACGCUCUAAUUCGAAAGGAUCCGUACAUGUUGGAGCAUAUUGAUCAGAUUCCUUUCACCGAUACUCCACUUCACAUAGCAGCAAAUGAAGGCCAAAUUAAGUUUGCAAUGGAGAUGAUCAACUUGAAGCCUUCGUUUGGUCGGAAGCUAAACCCAGACGGGUUUAGCCCCAUGCACUUGGCCCUCAAAAUGGGGCAUACCAAGCUAGUGCUUCGACUGUUGAAGACCGAUAAAGACCUGGUUCGCGUCAAAGGAAGGGAAGGGAUGACUCCUUUCCAUUGGGCAGCUGCAGUGGGGAACUCUAAUCUUUUAUUCCACUUCCUUGAAACUUGCCCUGAAUGCGUUGAGGAUGUCACGGUUCGUAACGAGACUGCAUUACAUCUUGCUCUGAAAAACGACCACACCGACGCUUUUAAUCUCUUACAUGGAUGGCUUCGAAAGAACCGUUGUGGAGGAGGCAAGGAUUUGGAAAGAAAGGUUGUGAAUUGGAGAGAUGAUGAUGACAACACUGCGUUGCACAUUGCAGCUACAAAGCAACAACAUCAGGUAUAUAUGCAAUAUAAUGAUAAGUUGCGUUCCUUUGAUCAUUUUAUUAAUUAUGACUAUUUAUAAUAUACUAUGCAGGCAGUACAACUGUUGUUGGAGUCCUUUUAUGGGUUAGAUGCAAACGCUAAGAACUCGGAAGGUUUGACAGCUCGAGAAAUCAUAGAAAGGGUUGAAAGACAAGGGCUGAACAUGAGUGGCGCCGAAGACGAUGAUACCACCACCGCCAAGAUUGAGCGCAUUAAGAACAGAACUAGUAGGUCUGAAAGAGCAUUAGUAAAGUUGAUUCGUGCAAGGAAUGGGUUGUCAGAGAACAUGCUCAACGCAACACUGGUGGUAGCGGCGCUGGUCAUAACAGCAAUCUACCAGUCAUCUUUAAGCCCACCAAGAGGUCUUUGGCAAGGUGAUAACACUAUCCGCACCACCACCUCAAACCUUACUUCUACUACUAAAUUUACACUCUUUAACGACAAUUACGAUAUAGCAAGUUCUAGACAUGUGUUGGGUGAAGAAACAAGGAAAACUGGUACAACAAUCAUGAACCCCAACUUGUUUUUAGGGUUUUGGUUAUUCAAUUUAAUAGCAUUUGGGCUUCCAGUUCUUCUAACCGUUUUGCUUUUAUCCAAUGUACCUAGUAUUCUUCUCAUCCCGCUUUAUUAUCUAUCCGUCUCCUACUUCAACUGCAUGACAAUAAUAUCUCCUUCCUCGUUUUGGGCAAGCAUCAACUAUGUUAUCAUGUGGGCAGCAAUUGGUCUCCCGUUGCUCUUAGUUGUUAGAAGCGUAUGGUUAUGGAAGCAGCCAAAGUACAGGGAAAUCAGACAAUUACGCAGACUUUUCCGCAAGUAAAAUAAUGUUGGAACCAUUCAACGGUUGCGAAUGUCAAUGUUGUUUAUAUGUUCUCUUACGUUAUGUACUUUUUUCCAUUUUCGGUAAAAAAUUUAUGUAAUUGUUUUGGAUAAAUUUAAUAAAUAAGAUUACUUUUUCCAACAAUAUCUUUGUCCUUUGCAACAGAAAAAAAAAACAUAGAAAAACCAACCAUCCUAUUUUAUAAUUUAAAAGAAUAUUUUCCUUUUUGUAAAAAGAGAUAUUUUCGAAGUAUUGUUAAUUCAAAAUUAACAAAUUUUUUAAUAAAUCGAUAUUAUUCUCUAAAUAUUUUCUAAAAAAAAUACAAAUUCAUAAACAACAGCUAUAUUCUUUUUCGUUGUGAUUUCGGCAAUAUAAGGCCGAAUUAAAUUUGUAAAAAGGGGUUACGAAGAUUGUAUCAAGAAACGAUUAGAAGAAUAUAAAAAAAAAAACAACACAGAGAAAAAUAGCAAUUUGGAGAGGUGAUUUUCUCUUUGGGAUUUUCUUUUCAUUUUUUCCUUUUGAUUUACUGUUUUUUGCAUAAAACAAAUAGAAAAGAAAAGGAGGAACCAUACCUGGGAGGCGUGCUUCCGAAGCCCUUCCUUGUUCUGUGCAGGGUGCAGAAUGAAGGAGUAGAGGGCUUUUGGGAAGAAGCGGCGCACGCAGGAGAGGAAUAACCUAGGGGUUUUUUUUUUUUUUUUUAAACCUUUAAAUGGCUUUUAUGCAGCAUACAACACGGCACCGUUUGGAGCCUGAUCAGUGGUUUCAAAACGGUGCCGUAUAGGCCUGUACCCAUGCGCGACCCGAUCCGACCCUGAGAGGAUCCGCGCGUUUUGUAAAUGGUUUAUUUUCUCGUUUGAUCCUUCUUGUUUUUCAAAAUGUGUUUAAUUAUUUUUUUCUUUUUAAAUUCAAUCACAAGUUUUAUUUCUGUUCUAAUUUAAUCCCCUAUCUGUUAUUAGUUAUUUAUUAUUAAUUAUUUUUACUAUUAUUUUUAUUAUUGUAUAAUAUCAUUUUUAUGGUGUUAUUAUUACCAUUACAACCAUAUUUAUGCAUACAUUUUUUUUGAAAUAUACGUACAUUUUUUUAUAAUUUAUAUAUGUACAUACGUUUUUAUAUUACACAAUUUAUAUACGUAUCUUUAUAUAUAUUUAAAUACAUAUUACUUUAAUUUUCAUAAAUAUAUAUAUACAUUUACAUUUUAUAAUACAUAUACAUUUUCCAAACUUUAUAGUCCAUACGUAUAUACAUUCAUUUUCUAUAAUAUACAUAUACGUACAUUUUUUGAAAUUAUUAUAAAUAUUUUUUUUGCAUAUUUCAUUUUUUAUAUACAUAUACUUAUAUAUACAUAUUUUAAUACAUGCAUAUACAUAUUUUCAUAGUUUACUUAUAUAUUAUACUUAUACAUUUUUUAUAUUUUGUAAAUAUAAGCCGACCGAGAGGUCUUUGGCAAGGUGAUAACACGAGUAACCCCACCACCACCUCAAACCUUACUACUACCACUAAAUUUAAACUCUUUAACGACAAUUACGCUGAAAAACUUUCUAAACAUGUGUUGGGUGAAGAAACAAUGAAAACUGGUACAGCAAUCAUGAAUCCCAACUUGUUUUUAGGGUUUUGGUUAUUCAAUUUUAUAGCAUUUGGGCUUCCGGUUCUUCUAACCGUUUUCCUUUUAUAUUCUUCUUCUCCCGCUUUAUUUUCUAUCCGUCUCCUACUUUAACUGCAUGACAUUAAUAUCUCCGUCCAUGUUUUGGGCAAACCUCAACUCUGUUGUCAUGUGGGCAGCCAUUAUUCUCCCGUCUCUCUUAGUUUUUGGAGGCGUAUGGUUAUGGAUGCUGCCAAAGUACCGGGAAAUCAGACAAAUACGCAGACGUGUCCGCAAUGACAAUAAUGUCGGAAUAAUUCAAUUCAUGCGAAUGUCAGUCUAAUUUAUAUAUUAUAUUAUGUACUCUUUUCCAUUUUCUCUGUAUUAAUAUCUUUUCUUUUUGAAAAAAAAACACUAUGUAAUUGCUUUGGAUAAAUUUAAUAAAAACAGAUAUAUUUGAAGUAUUGUUUGUUUAAAAUCGACUGAUUUCUAAAUGUGUUAUAUUACUUUCGAGUUAUUAAUUAAAAAUAUCUUUAACAUAAAGAUAUAUGUAAUAGUUACAUAUUUAUUAUUUUAUUUAUAUAAUAAAAAAGUUAUUGAUUAAAAAGAUGAAUUAAAAAAUUAAAAAAUAAUAUAUUUAUUAAUUAAAAAGCACUAUUUUUUAAAAUAACAUGAGAUAAAAAUAUAAAUAUGCGUAGGAGAUGAAUUAAAACCGAGUCUCAAAAAUAAAAUUACUAACAUUUAACUUUUUGAUCAAAUGAAUUAAUGCGUCAAGUUAUUAAAAAUAUAUAUAUUUUAUCCUACAAGACGCAUUUUAUAUUUCUUUCUCUAAAAUCAACUUAUUUCUAUAAAUAUUAAAAAAAUCUACCUAAUACUCUAAUUAUUUUCUAAAAAGGACAUAUAUUGCUAGUAUACCCUAAAACUAGGAAGGGUGCCUGUGGUGCGCCACGCUUUCUAAAGCAAAUAAUAAUAAUAAUAAUAAUAAUAAUAAUAAUAAUAAUAAUACAUUAACCUAAAUUUCAUGAGAGUUUGGUGUCCCUUUUCUUAAUUCUAAAAAAAUAAAAUCUCUCAAAUAAAAAUAAUAAAUAAAAUAAUCUUAAGUCUCGUAUGCGAAAUUGAGUUUUUGUGUCAAAUUUUUUGUGUAAUUUGUAUAUUCGUUAGUUUCCGACUUAUUGAACAAUAAUUGUAUUUAUAUAGAAAUGAUAAAUUAAGUAAAAUUCAUGUCCAAAAUUAAUUAAAAUAAAUAAUAAAAAUAUAUCAAUUAAGCACAUUAUCAUCUAUAUUUUAUAAUAUUAACUAAUUUAACUAUCAUUUAAAUAUAUAUUAUCUACUUUAACAUAAAUAUUUUAUCUUUUAAAAAAUACUCUUCUUUUUUUUAAAAAAAAAAAAAACAAAGACCGGACAUAUUUAUUGAAGUAAUACAACAACAUUGUAGAAAUGAGAAUAAAAAACAAAAAACAGCCAAAUAAAUAUAAACCCUAGGACUUAAAACAUUUUUCAUCUAAAAACAAGAAUAUUAAAAUAGUGAAAAACCUCCAAAUUUACCGUUAUCUACAUCCAUUACUAAUCGUAGACGGUGACAAAGACAUUCGACAGAUGAUAAGCAUUAAAAAUUACUCUUUUAACUACAAUACUAAAAGCGUCCGCAAACCAUUUUUCAAUAAAGAUAUUAAUCAAGCCGGAUUAAUUUAGAGUUAAAUCGAGUAAGUCUAAGGGUGGAUUUGGAUGGGUGAUUGGGUGCUGUGCGGUACGUUUAGUUUACUUUUUGUCUCACGCUAUAGUAUCGCUACAGUAUCUAAUCUUACCGCCAUCGCUAUUUUUACACUAACCGCAGGUAAACCCACCGCCUAUCCAAACUCACUCUAGAUUAAGUCCGUAGAUGAAUUUCCACAUCUUUUUUUAGGCAUUAAAUUGAGAGCCAAUCAAACCUUCCCCUAAUUCCCCUUACCAAUCUAUAAAAAAUUGGAUCUUUGGUUUGAUUUUAUCAAUAAUAAAUUUGAUAACUUUUAUCAUUAUCAUUAUUUUGUUCACUUUUCAUCAAUAAUGAGAUCAAUUGUUUCGCUAAUAGAAUAGAAAAUAGAUAGUUGCUUCCUAUUUCAGCAAUAUUAUAAUGGUACCAUGUGUUUUUAUGUUUUUAAUUUUUAAUAUAAUUAAAGGAUGCAUUGUAAUGUAAAGAAUAAUAAUUCUAAUUAUCUAUGCUUAAAAUUAAUUCAGUUGUGCUUUCAAUCAAUGUAUGAUUUUGAUAUUGCAAGAGGUGUCCAGCUAUGUGGUGAGAUCUUGAAGGUGUGUCUUUGUAACAACUUGAGAAGCUUUUUGGAUUUUUUUUCUUCUUCUUUUAGGUUUAUUAUUAGUAAAUGAAUUUUUGCUGCAAAAAAUUAGCUUAAAAACAAAAUAUAAAAAUGAUAGGAAAUAUGUUAAUUUUAUACAACGACAAUUAAUGACAUUGCAAUAUAUUACUUAACAACAUGAACAAUCCCCACCAUCGUAUUGUCAUUCCCAAGUAAUGGCGUAUUCUCUUUACUUGGAAAAUAUCCCUCCUAACGCUGGCCGAAAUUGGUUGAAACAUUAUGCAGCUCAUUUGGUAAGAUAAUGGACGUGUUUAUUGCAUCAAAAAGAAAUAGAAGAGGUCGUCGGUUUUGUUUCGUUAGGUAUGGUAGGUUGGAAGAAGCAAAGAGAGCAUUGUGGAGUCUAGAUGGAAGGUGGUUCUCUAAUCAUAGAUUGACAGUCAGUAUGGCGAAGUUUAUACCUAGAGAUGAUUUGUGGAGGAAGGCAAAUGGGAGAGAGAUCAGACAACAUACAUAGAAUAUGGAAAGAAGAUGUGUUGAAGGAAAUACGGGACCGCAUGUAGGGAAGAAUGCAAGUGAGAUUAUGGCAAAUAAUAAACAACAUGAAGAAAAUGACCCAAUCAAGUUGGACGAGAUGGUGGAAGAUUUAUGAAUUUCCAGAACAAAGUAGUAGAGGGAGCCAUUGAUGGAGAGAACUUGAAGUGGCUUGAAAAAUGUAUUGUGGGUAGAAUGAGAAACAAUGCUACUGUGGGGUUAUGGGGUGAUACUGGAAUUUAUAAAAUUGGAGUCAAAAGAUUAUCGGAUAAUGAUUUGUAUGAAUUGGAAGCCAAUGAAUGGGGAGAUGUUUUGUAAGUGUUCAGAAAGUUGAACGGUGGACCACAAAGAUGAAAGAUUAAGGUGGUUAUCCUGUUACGAGAUUCCAAUACAUGCUUGGUCUUCGAGGAGGAAGUAGUUAAACAACUUGCUGGCUUGCUGCUAUUGAAUAUUAUAAUUGGUUUGAUUUAUUAUUUUUGGUACAAACAAUCAAGACUCAAACAGUCAAUCGACUGUCGGAUAGAGCACGUGCAAAACCAACCUAACAUAUGAGAAUAUAUCCAGAAGAAGAAACUUAUCCAAGUCCAACCCCCCACAAGUUGCCAAUCGGCUCAUCCCAUUGACCUUUCCACACCUUCGAAUUGAUUGGUGCAAUGCGAGGUCCAAUAUUGGAAGGAGAAUGGAAUCUAAACCGUGGGACCACACUUAAGCCGGCGUCCUAAAUGACUAGAUGCGUGGAAGACGGUGGGUAUUCUUUCACCCAAUAACAUCACUACAUAUACACAAACCAUGUCUGCCCAUCUUGUGGGCUACUUGUGAUAAAACAGGAAAACAAUGAAAAAUAAUAAUAUAAAGAAGAGAAACAAAAUCCACACCUAAUAUAAUUUUUCCUAAAUACAAGAAAACAAGUUUUGGGAUAAAAAAUCAUAUCGAAGAUUAAAGGAUUCAAUUCAUUUAGACUUGAAUGUUAAUUGAAUGAUUAAACAUUCAAAUCUCGUUAAAUUCAUGAACAGCUUUUCAUUAGAUAGAAUAUUCUCUAUUUCUUAAAUUUAAUUCUUUUAUAUUAAGAUCUGUUUGAGACAUUAAAAAUUGGUUUAAUUUACCAAAAUAAUAAUAAUGAGGCCCAUGGUUUUGGAAUCUUUUCUAUGUCACAGCUAUGGGGAUGGGGUCAAGACACAGCUGUCCUUUUUUGAGGUCAAAUAAAUUGAUUAAAAAUAUCCACCAAAAUGAUAAGAAUGUACAUAAUUCAUCUUAUUUUUAAACUGAUAUUCCUAAGUAUAUUAUAUAUUUUUAAUACUGAUAUUUCUUAAUAAAUUUGUUUCUAAAUUAAAUAUUUUUUUUCAAAAUCAUCUUAAAGUUUUUGAAACUUAUGUUUGUUUAAAUAUUAAAAUAAUUUUUAAUACACUGCUUGUGGAAAAAGUUUGACAAAAUAUAAUAAAAUAUCAAAAAAAAGACGCAUACCAAUACACAAAAUAUAUUAUCUAUUUUAUAACAUAUUAUUUAAAAUAAAUAUUUUAUUUUCUAAAAGUAAUUUUUUACCGCAAUACCAAAAAUAUAAAUUUUAGAGUAAAAUUUCUGAAAGCGAAGCUGGUCAACUUGCCUUGAAACAGAUGGCGAAAAUGAGUCCAAAUUAUAUCGGAGCGAGAAACAGGGAGUGGGAUUCAAGAUUUUGACGUACUGUAUAGGCGGCCACCGAUUUAUAUCCCUCGUCAUAUAUAGAUAUAUUAAUCAUUUUUUAAAAUAUUCGAUAUUUAUAUUCAAUAUAAAUCUACCCUUGACGGAUUAAUUAGUUUAGUGCAAGCUUGGUUUAAAUCAGUUGAGGUUGCAAAUAAGGAUAGUCAGUUUGCAACUCUCCUAAUUUUUUCAUCAUUUAAAGAAAGAAACAAAAGCAUGGAUCCAAGCUUGAGAGAAGUAGCUGGAACAGGAGAUACUGAUGCCUUGUACGCUCUAAUUCGAAAGGAUCCGUACAUGUUGGAGCAUAUUGAUCAGAUUCCUUUCAUCGAUACUCCACUUCACAUAGCAGCAAAUGAAGGUCAAAUUAAGUUUGCAAUGGAGAUGAUCAACUUGAAGCCUUCGUUUGGUCGGAAGCUAAACCAAGACGGGUUUAGCCCCAUGCACUUGGCCCUCCAAAUGGGGCAUACCAAGCUAGUGCUUCGACUGUUGAAGACCGAUAAAGACCUGGUUCGCGUCAAAGGAAGGGAAGGGAUGACCCCUUUCCAUUGUGCAGCUGCAGUGGGGAACUCUAAUCUUUUAUUCCACUUCCUUGAAACUUGCCCUGAAUGCGUUGAGGAUGUCACGGUUCGUAACGAGACUGCAUUACAUCUUGCUCUGAAAAACGACCACACCGA
RNAcentral lists this long non-coding RNA (38614 nucleotides) under Gossypium raimondii (Peruvian cotton). RNAcentral describes it as "long non-coding RNA (GRAI_LNC003329)". The record is from RNAcentral. Lineage: Eukaryota; Viridiplantae; Streptophyta; Magnoliopsida; Malvales; Malvaceae.